GGCUUUAUUGGGAAUUGCUGGUUUUGAAAACCGGCUAGGAACGUUCGAUUCGUUUAGAAGUCUAGGGGAUAAUUAAGGUUAAGUAUGGGAGCUUCUAACUCUUUUUAUGGGCAGUUCGAUUCUGUUCGUCCCUUA
Molecule: transfer RNA, 135 nt
Filed under: Hiatula chinensis
Lineage: Eukaryota; Metazoa; Mollusca; Bivalvia; Cardiida; Psammobiidae
Description: tRNA-Ser
Source: RNAcentral